Molecule: ribosomal RNA, 246 nt
Filed under: uncultured bacterium
Lineage: Bacteria
Description: partial 16S ribosomal RNA
Rfam family: Bacterial small subunit ribosomal RNA
Source: RNAcentral
AGUAACGCGUGGGUAACCUGCCCUGUACAGGGGGAUAACAGUCAGAAAUGACUGCUAAUACCGCAUAAGACCACAGCACCACAUGGUGCAGGGGUAAAAACUCCGGUGGUACAGGAUGGACCCGCGUCUGAUUAGCUGGUUGGUGAGGUAACGGCUCACCAAGGCGACGAUCAGUAGCCGGCUUGAGAGAGUGAACGGCCACAUUGGGACUGAGACACGGCCCAAACUCCUACGGGAGGCAGCAUG